UUCAAUGCAAACUGUUGUCACAUGUCAAACUGUUGGUCGCAAAGGGUGACAUUUUAUCAACAAGGCUGCAUUUUCAGCAUGUCCGAAAAAUAUAUAUAAAGACAUUGAUUUUAGCAUUGGCAAAUUGGUUUAGUCGCGUAGUGAGGAGCCUAUAAAAACGUUGCUAAAUUCAGAAACAUAUUUUGGGGAAUUCUGAAAUUUAUUGGAAUAAAUGACCAAACUAUAAAACCAGCUAGCCAGCUAUCGGUAAUUGUAGCUAGCUAGCACUCCUGUCAGGUAGCUAUGUUAGAUUACUAGGGUUGCGUUCCACACACUUAAAAAGACACACCCUCGUCCACUUUCCCUCGCCCUAUGCCCUUGGCGUAAUCGCCAUCUAGGAGGACAGUCCAAAUGAUUAGCAAAGCAAGGGAAGUUUUCAAUGUAAGCCCCUCGGCCCUCGUUGUUAGUCGUUAGUCAGCUUUGCAAGUGUACAAUUAUGUUCACUCCGUGGCCUGAAACUCCCCAUAAUUCAAUUCGCAACGAUUGUACAUCCGCUAAGAAAAGUCAGCAAAAAAACAUCAAUGGAGAAGUCAACAUACAAGUGUGAACUACAGGUGAAGUCACUCAAUCCAGUCCCAGAGGCUUGGGGACCAUAGCAAAGAUUCCUGGUGACAGCUAGCUGAAAGAGCUACCCAGAUUCAUAUCGCACGGCGGGAGGGUAAGACACAUUGGCACUGUCGAACAAUAAACAGUGUUCGGGAGGAGAACUGGAAUUAACAGAAUUCCGGGGGCCAUCUCUCGAAUGAAGUAACCCUCCCUGUCCUGUCACCCCUGUUUUUGUUCAUAGAAGUGAAGAUGUGUCUGGCUCUUGCUAAGUGAUGUGUUCUUGGGGAAAGGGUGGGGCUUCAAAUGGAAGCUGUUCGUCUGAGCUGUCUUAUCGUGGGUGACAUAUUCCUGAUACAGCACGUCCUACUUGAGUAUGCGGAGAGUGGUAAUUUGACCCAUGGUUUAGACGAUGAGGAUUUUGUUCCAAAAUAAGCAUAAGAGAUCCCUAGAUCUGGGUAGACAGGAAGUUAGAGUAGAGAUUACAUGAUAACCGACUUCGGACAGUUCUAGGAUUGGAGAAGAGGGUAUCCUUAUAGCAUAGGGGAUCCCACAAAGGUGGAUAGGUUUUCCAUGAUAUGGGAAAACCUGGGAGCACUGUUGAACUUUGUAAAGGUGAUGAAAUCCUACUAACCAUCAAAACUAUUAAGCUCUCUGAUGCAGGCACUUACACCCUCGGACUACAAAGGACGAGGACAGACAUGAUGGGUGUGUUUUUUAUUAAGGUGCUGCCAAAACCAGAGGUCCCAGACGAACCAGAGCCAGACACACUCCUCUACCACCCCUGGACCGAACCUGCCACCUACCACCACUGUGUUAAAAAUACCAUUCAGGUAAUUAAUGUUAGGGACUAUUCGGCUAUUGAUCAAUUAGGCACUGAGACUGGUUUUGAUGGUAGGGACAAUUUGUGGCUGUCUUAUGAGGUACACAGCUAAAACCCUGAGAAGAAAGGACUGCAUUAUUUGUAGUCAUGCUAGACCUGUUCUGGCUACACACCCAUUUGCUGUAGGAGAAGGAGAGGGGUGGUUGUGUAUUCUGAGAAGUUUUUACCAGGUUAAGCCCAAUUCAACCCUCUGUUCCUCUUUGAGCCUUGUGUUUCCUGCAGUACCUCCUCAUCGGGCCUCUUGGGGUGUUAAGGCAUAUGGGGGCAAUUACAGUUGCAUCACGGGUACAGGUAAUGGCAUUGAUUAUGGGAGAUUGCCUGAAGCUGAUUGCAGUAGUAACAUAACCAUUAAUUCCACUUGGCCAGUUACAGGCCUAAACCAAACUAGUGGUCUGGCUGAUGUGUGGUGGAUGUGUGGAGCCAAAAGAGUGCUGAGACCCAUUCUUAGAGGAGAAUGGCAAGGUACGUGUGGUCUGACCAGUUUGAUAAUUCCACUGACCAUUGUUGAUGUUACUGCUGAACAGCUGUUGGGUUCUGUAUCCAGGGGACCUGAAAACAUUCCAUCCCAUGGGAGACAUAGACGUAGUGCUCCAUGGACAGAGGAUGUAGUUGACAUACACACUAACCUGUUGGGAGUGCCAGUGGGGGUUCCUCAUGAGUUUCAGGCCUUGGGUAGGAAUGAUGGACUCUGGCACUUACUACCUAUUAUGGGUCCAGCCAUAGUGGAUGCUAGACAGACUGCAUGGAUUAAUUAUAUCUACUAUAAUCAACAGCGUUUUGUGAAUUACUCCCGUGAUGCACUCACUGGUAUGUCUGAACAGCUUGAGGCCACAUCUGGGGUUUCCAGACAGAAUAGACUUGCCUUGGAUAUGCUUCUUGCCAGUCAGGGGGGCGUCUGCAAGAUGUUCGGUAAACAAUGUUGCACGUAUAUUCCUAAUAAUACCAGUCCAGAUGGUAGUAUAUCUAAGGCCCUUAAUGGGCUUGAUGCACUACCUGCUAAGAUGAGGUCCAUGGCGGGGGUGGAGGAGUCUGACUGUUCAAAUGAGUUGGGAGCCUGGUUUGGUAAGUACACUGGUAUGGUGGUUACUGGAUUUCUGACCCUAAUUCUUGUAUUAUUUGUUAUUGAUGUGAUGUGCUGCUUGCAUCAUACCGUGUUUUAAGAAGUCUGUUACAGAUGUGGUGAAGGCUUCAGGCAUGAUGCCUUUGCUUGAUGCUCCAGUUGGAGAUGCUGAUACGGAAGCAUGCUUUCAGGGGAGGAUGGGACUGACUGAGGAUGACACAUGGUAUGCUGUGGGUGAGGUAGUAGAAUACAUUUUACACCACCACAGUUCCUUGUUAUACAUUUUUAUGAUAGGUUUUCUUUCCAGUAUGUUUGUUCUCCCUGUUGUGAAGGUUUAGAGUCCCUGGGUGGCAAGGAGCCCACCUGGUACAGGAUAGGAGUAGCUGAGAGGACCAGAUGGUUUAUAAUAAUGCUUUGCUCUGCUUUACUCUGUUUUCCAUGACCAAAGUUGUAUCCUAUAUCUUACAUGUCAAUAAACAAUAAAGUUUUAUCCUGUUUUUGAUAAGUGACACCCUUGUGGGUGACAAAAGGGGGAAACAAAAGCAUAUAUCACUUGUCCAUUUUUUCUAUUUUUCUUGGUUGAUUUUUUCUUUUCUGUUUUUCUGUUUUAUUAAUAAUAAACUUUUUAUUAUUUUCAUGAAAUGCUAUUAACAUAUUACUAUGUUGGGACUGCUAAAAUAAAGGAUAAUGAGUGACACCCUAGCGGGUGUCAAAAGGGGGACUUAAAUUUCACACCAUUUUCUUUUGUUCUGUUUUUGAAUGAGCUGUUGUUCUCUUUUGAUAUGAGGGUUGUAAAGUUCCUAGGUGGCUGGUAGCCAAUCUAGUACAUAGUGGGAUCGAAUGGAGGACAUGAAGGUAUUUUAAACUUUGUAACUGUUAUAUGAUUCAUUGCUGAAUUUUUGUUCACACCCUUAGGGGUGUGAAAAAGAGGGAUCGUUGGAUCUUGUGUUUUACAUUAUAGCCAUUACCAUAUAUAUGAUUGAAUAUUAUCUGCUGUUGGCUUGUGUUGAUGUAUGUAAGUGUUUUGCAACAUAGCUGACUUGAAACAUUGUUAAAAGUGUCAGGGCCAGGGGACUUUCUCAUGCUGGAAAAAUACAGAAGGGAGGGCACAUUCAGAGCGUGGGGUUGCGAGAACAAGCGGUCUUUUGUUAGAUAACAGGAGCCAGGUGCGAGAUAACGGUAUGGAGCAUGAGACCCAUCUUUCAGUUUUUGCAGCCAUUUUAGUGUUGUGCGGCUGCUGUUGCAUUCCGUGUAUUCGCUCACUCACUACUAGAGUUAUAACUAAAGCCAUUGACCCAACAAGCCCUUCCCAGAUGUACCCCCUUUUAGGGGAUACGGAACCCGAAUAUGAGGAGGGGGAUCCCGUUGCUUUUACUGCUUUUUGAGCUUCUCCAUUCUAUGUCGUGCCUCUUCUGAAUUGGGAAGAGGGGGCAUGUGGACCAUUCCGCCUGACUUGCCUAGUUUAUGUCACAUCUCUUAGGAGAUGUGAAGAGAGGGAAUCACAAAACCUUUCCUUCUGGGAAAAGUUUUCUUUUUGUGUCUGGAUCUAGUUAGGUUGUGUCACGUCUCUGGGGAGAUGUGAAGAGAGGGAUUUGUAAGGAAGUGCUAUUUCUUAUGCAAAUGACCAGCUUACUGCUAUCACAUUGCUAUAACUGAGACAACGUAUUUUCACAGUAAAACACACACAGCACACACACAUUACACACACUAACUGCCGAGGACACACAGAUAAGACAUACACCCACACAUUGGGAGGAAGAGACACAGCCUUGACUUGCAGACACAAGCACACACACAAUCUCCUUCCUAGCCGAACAUUGUGUGACUGAGAACGACACGACGAGACCCGGAGGAACGACGGACGGCUCAACAGGACCAAUCCAAGAAGACAACACCUCAACUGUGGCCAACCAAAAGACCGGGACUUCCAGACUCAACCCACUUUCUUUACUGUACAUAACAUGCUUGCAAUCUGUUAUCGGGGCUUCUUUCUGCUGGUUCCUUGUGAGCCAAAUGAAUGAGCCCGUAUACGUUGUACCAGAUAUCUUUACUCUGAAUAAACUGUCGCUUGUCAUACAAUUUA
Molecule: long non-coding RNA, 4608 nt
Organism: Oncorhynchus nerka (sockeye salmon)
Lineage: Eukaryota; Metazoa; Chordata; Actinopteri; Salmoniformes; Salmonidae
Exons: 2
Source: RefSeq, a predicted model, not a curated record